This 497-nucleotide ribosomal RNA is filed under the name uncultured bacterium. RNAcentral's name for it is "partial 16S ribosomal RNA". It matches the Rfam family "Bacterial small subunit ribosomal RNA", at positions 28 to 507 of the family's 1533-position model. The record is from RNAcentral.
GAUGAACGCUGGCGGCGUGCCUAAUACAUGCAAGUCGAGCGAACGGACGAGAAGCUUGCUUCUCUGAUGUUAGCGGCGGACGGGUGAGUAACACGUGGAUAACCUACCUAUAAGACUGGGAUAACUUCGGGAAACCGGAGCUAAUACCGGAUAAUAUUUUGAACCGCAUGGUUCAAAAGUGAAAGACGGUCUUGCUGUCACUUAUAGAUGGAUCCGCGCUGCAUUAGCUAGUUGGUAAGGUAACGGCUUACCAAGGCAACGAUGCAUAGCCGACCUGAGAGGGUGAUCGGACACACUGGAACUGAGACACGGUCCAGACUCCUACGGGAGGCAGCAGUAGGGAAUCUUCCGCGAAGGGCGAAAGCCUGACGGAGCAACGCCGCGUGAGUGAUGAAGGUCUUCGGAUCGUAAAACUCUGUUAUUAGGGAAGAACAUAUGUGUAAGUAACUGUGCACAUCUUGACGGUACCUAAUCAGAAAGCCACGGCUAACUACGUG